AUUGUUAGACUAAGUUACCUUAGGGAUAACAGCGUAAUCUUCUUUCAGAGUUCAAAUUUACAAGAAGGCUU
Molecule: transfer RNA, 71 nt
Filed under: Lestes temporalis
Lineage: Eukaryota; Metazoa; Arthropoda; Insecta; Odonata; Lestidae
Description: tRNA-Val
Source: RNAcentral